This is a non-coding RNA of Bos taurus (domestic cattle), 73 nucleotides long. NCBI's taxonomy places the organism in Eukaryota, Metazoa, Chordata, Mammalia, Artiodactyla, Bovidae. The record is from Rfam.
UCCCUGGUAGCUCAGUUGUUAAAGACCCUGCCUGCAAUGCAGGAGACCCCGGUUCAACUCCUGGGUUGGGGAA